This is a long non-coding RNA of Xenopus tropicalis (tropical clawed frog), 273 nucleotides long. RefSeq lists it as uncharacterized. The record is from RefSeq and is a predicted model, not a curated record. The transcript is spliced from 3 exons. NCBI's taxonomy places the organism in Eukaryota, Metazoa, Chordata, Amphibia, Anura, Pipidae.
CAAACAGGUCAGUUAGAACAAAACAUCACAGCGUUCAGAUCAGAGGCAACGUUUUAAGUCAGCUUCAUACAGAGCUGCUUGCAGAUUAGAAAGAGCUUGACAGUGACAUAAAUAUCUGCAGCAAGGCUAUCAGAAAUCCUCAAAGCAUGCAUUUCUGAGUUUCCCACAGUAUUACUGGACUUAUUUCAGGUUUUGGCACCAGAAAUUAGAGGUGGACUAUUUAAAGGCAGAGUAACAGGUCUUUGAGAGCCAGACUUCUUGCUGAUUGCCAGG